AUUGUCAAUGGGCGCCCCACCAUCUUUGAUGGCUUCGAUUCAGAACCACGUGUCGAGGCUGCUGGUCAUGGCUUCCCUUGCUGCAUCACGCGGUGGUUCUGACAGACGAACGCCCACCUCGCUACUUGGAAGUCAAUCUUGCCAUUGAAGUCGAAGUCCAGUUCGAGGAUGUUUAUACCUACGGUUAUGCAGCCUCUAGCCUCCUUCCCUUUGCCUUCGCAGUCGCUGCAACUCUAUCAAUUUCCUCCUCAUUUGCCGUCCCUAAGAAAGUUUGAUUUUACCUUUCCGAAUGGAAAACUCAAUUAUUCGUUCUUAUUAUGAAUCAUGAACCAAUCUUAGUAUA
Syzygium oleosum is the source of this 343-nucleotide long non-coding RNA. RefSeq lists it as uncharacterized. Lineage: Eukaryota; Viridiplantae; Streptophyta; Magnoliopsida; Myrtales; Myrtaceae. The transcript has 2 exons. The record is from RefSeq and is a predicted model, not a curated record.